UGCCCACCAACUCCUAUCCCUACCUCCACGCGGUACCGGCCGGAAACUAUGAGCAACCUUAGGGAAGAUCGGGUAACCAACCCCUGUGGGAACUUUGGUCAUAGGCUGACAGGGAAGG
Aedes albopictus (Asian tiger mosquito) is the source of this 118-nucleotide non-coding RNA. Lineage: Eukaryota; Metazoa; Arthropoda; Insecta; Diptera; Culicidae. The record is from Rfam.